GAUGAAGAACGCAGCGAAAUGCGAUAAGUAAUGCGAAUUGCAGAAUCCGUGAGUCAUCGAAUCUUUGAACGCACAUUGCGCCCCCUGGUAUUCCGGGGGGCAUGCCUGUUCGAGCGUCAUUUCACCACUCAAGCCUCGCUUGGUAUUGGGCAACGCGGUCCGCCGCGUGCCUCAAAUCGACCGGCUGGGUCUUCUGUCCCCUAAGCGUUGUGGAAACUAUUCGCUAAAGGGUGUUCGGGAGGCUACGCCGUAAAACAACCCCAUUUCUAAGGUUGACCUCGGAUCAGGUAGGGAUACCCGCUGAACUUAAGCAUAUCAAUAAGCGGAGGA
RNAcentral lists this unclassified non-coding RNA (330 nucleotides) under soil metagenome. Its description in RNAcentral is "partial contains 5.8S ribosomal RNA, internal transcribed spacer 2, and large subunit ribosomal RNA". The stretch from base 1 to 119 matches the Rfam family "5.8S ribosomal RNA", at positions 35 to 154 of the family's 154-position model. The record is from RNAcentral.